ACAGUGGUGGUUCAGUGGUAGAAUUCUUACCUUCUAUGUGGGAGGCCUGGGUUCAAUUCCUGGCCAAUGUA
Molecule: transfer RNA, 71 nt
Filed under: Loxodonta africana (African savanna elephant)
Lineage: Eukaryota; Metazoa; Chordata; Mammalia; Proboscidea; Elephantidae
Rfam family: tRNA
About the family: Transfer RNA (tRNA) molecules are approximately 80 nucleotides in length. Their secondary structure includes four short double-helical elements and three loops (D, anti-codon, and T loops).
Source: Rfam by way of RNAcentral